UACGUAGGGGGCUAGCGUUGUCCGGAAUUAUUGGGCGUAAAGAGCUCGUAGGCGGUUUGUCGCGUCUGCUGUGAAAUCUGGAGGCUCAACCUCCAGCCUGCAGUGGGUACGGGCAGACUAGAGUGCGGUAGGGGAGAAUGGAAUUCCUGGUGUAGCGGUGGAAUGCGCAGAUAUCAGGAGGAACACCGAUGGCGAAGGCAGUUCUCUGGGCCGUAACUGACGCUGAGGAGCGAAAGCGUGGGGAGCGAACAGG
Molecule: ribosomal RNA, 253 nt
Filed under: uncultured bacterium
Lineage: Bacteria
Description: partial 16S ribosomal RNA
Rfam family: Bacterial small subunit ribosomal RNA
Source: RNAcentral